Molecule: long non-coding RNA, 235 nt
Filed under: Panax ginseng (ginseng)
Lineage: Eukaryota; Viridiplantae; Streptophyta; Magnoliopsida; Apiales; Araliaceae
Description: long non-coding RNA (PGIN_LNC016749)
Source: RNAcentral
AUAGACAAACCUAACCCUUAAUUCACUCUAAGAGGUUGGCCCUUCCUGAGCUACCUUAAAUCGAGAGAAAGGCUAAGUCAAAAGUUUAAUCACAAGGACCAGGGCAGACAACGUUCGCAAUACAGACUCAAUGAAUGCAGAGCAGACUCGACGAUUGUAAAGCAGACUCAACAAUCGCAGUGCAUACUCGACGAUUAUAAGAACUACCUCAACGAUCGCAGUCCUCCCAAAGGAC